RNAcentral lists this ribosomal RNA (427 nucleotides) under uncultured bacterium. RNAcentral's name for it is "bacterial SSU rRNA". It matches the Rfam family "Bacterial small subunit ribosomal RNA", at positions 355 to 774 of the family's 1533-position model. The record is from RNAcentral.
UGGGGAAUAUUCCGCAAUGGACGAAAGUCUGACGGAGCAACGCCGCGUGAGUGAUGAAGGUUUUCGGACUGUAAAGCUCUGUUGUUUAGGACGAAAGUGCCUGUUGCGAACAGUUACAGGUAUUGACGGUACUAAACGAGGAAGCCACGGCUAACUACGUGCCAGCAGCCGCGGUAAUACGUAGGUGGCAAGCGUUGUCCGGAAUUAUUGGGCGUAAAGAGCAUGUAGGCGGAGAUUUAAGUCUGUUGUGAAAAUGCGGGGCUCAACCCCGUAUUGCGAUGGAAACUGAAUUUCUUGAGUGCAGGAGAGGAAAGGGGAAUUCCCAGUGUAGCGGUGAAAUGCGUAGAUAUUGGGAGGAACACCAGUGGCGAAGGCGCCUUUCUGGACUGUGUCUGACGCUGAGAUGCGAAAGCCAGGGUAGCGAACG